GUCUACAGCUAUACCACCCUGAACAUGACUGAUCUUGGAAGCUAAGCAGGGUUGGUCCUGGUUAGUGCUUGGACGGGAGACUGACUGGACC
Molecule: ribosomal RNA, 91 nt
Filed under: Rhinopithecus roxellana (golden snub-nosed monkey)
Lineage: Eukaryota; Metazoa; Chordata; Mammalia; Primates; Cercopithecidae
Source: RNAcentral